RNAcentral lists this ribosomal RNA (479 nucleotides) under uncultured bacterium. Its description in RNAcentral is "partial 16S ribosomal RNA". It matches the Rfam family "Bacterial small subunit ribosomal RNA", at positions 28 to 507 of the family's 1533-position model. The record is from RNAcentral.
GAUGAACGCUAGCGGGAGGCCUAACACAUGCAAGCCGAGCGGUAGAGUUUCUUCGGAAACUUGAGAGCGGCGCACGGGUGCGUAACACGUGUGCAACCUACCUUUAUCUGGGGGAUAGCCUUUCGAAAGGAAGAUUAAUACCCCAUAAUAUACUGAUUGGCAUCAAUUAUUAUUGAAAACUCCGGUGGAUAGAGAUGGGCACGCGCAAGAUUAGCUAGUUGGUGAGGUAACGGCUCACCAAGUCAAUGAUCUUUAGGGGUCCUGAGAGGGAGAUCCCCCACACUGGUACUGAGGUACGGACCAGACUCCUACGGGAGGCAGCAGUGAGGAAUAUUGGACAAUGGAGGAGAGCCUGAUCCAGCCAUCCCGCGUGAAGGAUGACGGUCCUAGGGAUUGUAAACUUCUUUUGUACAGGGAUAAACCUACCCUCGUGAGGGUAGCUGAAGGUACUGUACGAAUAAGCACCGGCUAACUCCGUG